UACGUAGGGUGCAAGCGUUGUCCGGAAUUAUUGGGCGUAAAGGGCGCGUAGGCGGGUCUUCAAGUUUGGGGUGAAAUCCUCCGGCUCAACCGGAGAACUGCCUCGAAUACUGAAGGUCUCGAGGGGGAUAGGGGCAUGCGGAACUACGGGUGGAGCGGUGAAAUGCGUUGAUAUCCGUAGGAACUCCGGUGGCGAAGGCGGCGUGCUGGAUCCCUUCUGACGCUGAGGCGCGAAAGCCAGGGGAGCAAACGGG
RNAcentral lists this ribosomal RNA (253 nucleotides) under uncultured bacterium. Its description in RNAcentral is "partial 16S ribosomal RNA". It matches the Rfam family "Bacterial small subunit ribosomal RNA", at positions 524 to 776 of the family's 1533-position model. The record is from RNAcentral.